GCCAUUGCUAUCGGGGUCCGAUUUAGCCAUGCUAGUCGCACGGGUUCAGACCCGUGGCGAACAGCUCAGUAACACGUGGCCAAGCUACCCUGUGGACGCGGACAACCUCGGGAAACUGAGGCUAAUCCGCGAUACCGCUCCCAGGUUGGAGUGCCGGGAGCGUGAAACGUUCCGGCGCCACAGGAUGCGGCUGCGGCCGAUUAGGUAGACGGUGGGGUAACGGCCCACCGUGCCGAUAAUCGGUACGGGUGGUGAGAGCCAGAGCCCGGAGAUGGAAUCUGAGACAAGAUUCCAGGCCCUACGGGGCGCAGCAGGCGCGAAACCUUUACACUGCACGACAGUGCGAUAAGGGGACCCCGAGUGCGAGGGCAUACAGUCCUCGCUUUUGUGUACCGUAGGGAGGUACACGAAUAAGAGCUGGGCAAGACCGGUGCCAGCCGCCGCGGUAAUACCGGCAGCUCAAGUGAUGGCCGCUAUUAUUGGGCCUAAAGCGUCCGUAGCCGGCCGCACAAGUCCGUCGGGAAAUCCACCCGCCUAACGGGUGGGCGUCCGGCGGAAACUGUGCGGCUUGGGACCGGAAGACUCGAGGGUUACGUCCGGGGUAGGAGUGAAAUCCCGUAAUCCUGGACGGACCGCCGGUGGCGAAAGCGCCUCGAGAGGACGGAUCCGACGGUGAGGGACGAAAGCUAGGGUCUCGAACCGGAUUAGAUACCCGGGUAGUCCUAGCCGUAAACAAUGCUCGCUAGG
This 747-nucleotide ribosomal RNA is filed under the name uncultured Halobacteria archaeon. RNAcentral describes it as "bacterial SSU rRNA". It matches the Rfam family "Archaeal small subunit ribosomal RNA", at positions 23 to 771 of the family's 1478-position model. The record is from RNAcentral. Lineage: Archaea; Methanobacteriati; Methanobacteriota; Halobacteria.